GACGAACGCUGGCGGCGUGCUUAACACAUGCAAGUCGAACGGAAAGGCCUGCUUUCCCUUGUGGAUUGCGGGUACUCGAGUGGCGAACGGGUGAGUAACACGUGAGUGAUCUGCCCCCAACUUGGGUAUAAGCCUGGGAAACUGGGUCUAAUUCCCGAUAGGACUGCAGGGUGGUGCCUGUGGUGGAAAACGAUUUUCUAGUGGUUGGGGAUGAGCUCGCGGCCUAUCAGCUUGUUGGUGGGGUAAUGGCCUACCAAGGCGGCGACGGGUAGCCGGCCUGGGAGAGUGGACGGCCACAUUGGGACUGGGAUACGGCCCAGACUGCUACGGGAGGCAGCAGUGGGGAAGAUUGCACAAUGGGCGGAAGCCUGAUGCAGCGACGCCGCGUGGGGGAUGACGGCCUUCGGGUUGUAAACUCCUUUCGACCGCGAGGAAGCCACCUGGUUGGAAGGGUGGUGACGGUAGUGGUAGAAGAAGCACCGGCUAACUACGUG
Molecule: ribosomal RNA, 494 nt
Filed under: uncultured bacterium
Lineage: Bacteria
Description: partial 16S ribosomal RNA
Rfam family: Bacterial small subunit ribosomal RNA
Source: RNAcentral